Molecule: unclassified non-coding RNA, 302 nt
Filed under: uncultured Preussia
Lineage: Eukaryota; Fungi; Ascomycota; Dothideomycetes; Pleosporales; Sporormiaceae
Description: sequence contains ITS1
Rfam family: 5.8S ribosomal RNA (bases 1-105)
Source: RNAcentral
GAAAUGCGAUAAGUAGUGUGAAUUGCAGAAUUUAGUGAAUUAUCAAAUCUUUAAACGCACAUUGCGCCCUUUAGUAUUCCUUAGGGCAUGCCUAUUCGAGCGUUAUUUAAACCUUUAAGCUCUGCUUGGUGUUGGGCGUCUGUCCUUGCCUCUAGGCGGUGGACUUGCCUUAAAUUUAUUGGCGGCUGGUACGUUGGCUUUGAGCGCAGCAGAAACGCGUUCUUGAGGCGGGCGGACUGGUUCCUAGAAGCUAAACUUAUUAUUUUAACCUUGGAUCAGGUAGGGAUACCUGCUAAACUUAA